This 408-nucleotide ribosomal RNA is filed under the name uncultured bacterium. RNAcentral's name for it is "bacterial SSU rRNA". It matches the Rfam family "Bacterial small subunit ribosomal RNA", at positions 361 to 773 of the family's 1533-position model. The record is from RNAcentral.
AUCUUCCGCAAUGGGCGCAAGCCUGACGGAGCGACGCCGCUUGGAGGAGGAAGCCCUUCGGGGUGUAAACUCCUGAACUGGGGACGAAAGCCCUGAUGAGGGGGAUGACGGUACCCAGGUAAUAGCGCCGGCCAACUCCGUGCCAGCAGCCGCGGUAAUACGGAGGGCGCGAGCGUUACCCGGAUUUACUGGGCGUAAAGGGCGUGUAGGCGGCUUGGGGCGUCCCAUGUGAAAGACCACGGCUCAACCGUGGGGGAGCGUGGGAUACGCUCAGGCUAGACGGCGGGAGGGGGUGGUGGAAUUCCCGGAGUAGCGGUGAAAUGCGCAGAUACCGGGAGGAACGCCGAUGGCGAAGGCAGCCACCUGGCUCGUUCGUGACGCUGAGGCGCGAAAGCGUGGGGAGCAAAC